Molecule: ribosomal RNA, 450 nt
Filed under: uncultured bacterium
Lineage: Bacteria
Description: partial 16S ribosomal RNA
Rfam family: Bacterial small subunit ribosomal RNA
Source: RNAcentral
UAAGCACCGCUACUGUGCCGCAUCGGUCACGUUCCGAAUCACUGGUUUAAGGGUGCGAGGCGGCAAGCAGGGUGAAACUCAUACUGUGAUGUCUUCUGAAUAGGAGAGGUGGCGAUGUGAUGUGGGGAAAUGCAUAUAUAUAGACACCAUUGCGAAGGCAGCUACUGGCUUUGACGCUGAGGCACAAAGCGGGGGAUCAAACAGGAUUAAUACCCUGGUAGUCCCGCCCUAACUGCUCACUCGCUGUUUGGGAUGUGUGAUAGCGAUAAGGAGCACCUGGGGGUACGUUGCAAGAAUGAAACUCAAAGGCACAAGUUUAUCGCGGAGAACUUACCUGGCUAGGUGGAAAGAACAGGUCUGCAUGGCUUUCAGCUCGUGCCGUGAGGUGUGGGUUAAGUCCCCAACGACGCACCCCUGUCUUAGUUGCACGGACUCUAAAAGACUGCCAGC